CAGCCGCCACGGUAAUACAGAGGGUGCGAGCGUUAAUCGGAUUUACUGGGCGUAAAGCGUGCGUAGGCGGCUAAUUGAGUCGGAUGUGAAAUCCCCGAGCUUAACUUGGGAAUUGCAUUCGAUACUGGUUAGCUAGAGUGUGGGAGAGGAUGGUAGAAUUCCAGGUGUAGCGGUGAAAUGCGUAGAGAUCUGGAGGAAUACCGAUGGCGAAGGCAGCCAUCUGGCCUAACACUGACGCUGAGGUACGAAAGCAUGGGGAGCAAACAGGAUUAGAUACCCCCGUAGUCCCUGUCUCUUAUAA
Molecule: ribosomal RNA, 301 nt
Filed under: uncultured bacterium
Lineage: Bacteria
Description: partial 16S ribosomal RNA
Rfam family: Bacterial small subunit ribosomal RNA
Source: RNAcentral